AUGCGCUCAUAGCUCAGUUGGUUAGAGCACCGGACU
This 36-nucleotide transfer RNA is filed under the name Renibacterium salmoninarum. Its description in RNAcentral is "partial tRNA-Val". The record is from RNAcentral. Lineage: Bacteria; Bacillati; Actinomycetota; Actinomycetes; Micrococcales; Micrococcaceae.